Long non-coding RNA from Canis lupus familiaris (dog), 968 nucleotides. RefSeq lists it as uncharacterized. The transcript is spliced from 3 exons. Lineage: Eukaryota; Metazoa; Chordata; Mammalia; Carnivora; Canidae. The record is from RefSeq and is a predicted model, not a curated record.
UGGCCAGCAGGUGUUGGCGAGCACCUUGGGCAUGGAGCUCAUCAGCUGAGCAUGAUCACAACCAGUGAGCUCACGGGAAAUGCCCUGCCCAUGUACGAGGCAGGACAGCAUGUGCCAGCCAGGUGGAGGGCUGUGAGGCCUGGAGGGCAUGGCCUGGGCUAGCUGACCUCUGCUGGCCCCGACUGUCAGGACCCUGACCCCCAUACGGGGCUCAUGCUGGGGGGACAAGCUUUGUACAUGUCACAGCACAGGCAGGGCCAUGGAACACAGCGCCUGGGGGCAGGCCAGACAGGACCUCUGUGAGCAGCAGGCCUGUAGGGUGCAGGCACAAGGGCCAGGCAGGCGAGGGAGGAGCAGAGAGGCCUGCCUUCCUGGCAAAGGCUGCGAGAGAGAGAGAAAGAGAAGAACAGAAGGAGAGGGAGAGAGAAUCUCAAGCAGAUGCUACGUGGGGCUCAAUUUCAUGACCCUGAGAUCAUGACCUGAGCCCAAACCAAGGAAGGACAUGUUGAGUGCUGCUUCAUUAUUCAUGAGGAAUGGUGUUGACCCUCUGACCUCUCCAAAUGGCAGGGAGAAAUAAUUCAUAAAGGUGCAAAUGUGAGCAGGGCAGGCCAUCUGAGGCUCAGCUGACCCUGUGCCCCUGGGAGCCCCUCAGCUGGCCACCUUGCAGCUGAACCCUGUCUGCCUCCCCUCAGGGAGCUGGUAAGAGUGGGGAGGCCAUGCAGCAUCUCUGGCAUCACAUUAUUAAGUAAGCAAGACCAUUCAGUAUGUGGUGCAGCGGACACAGACCCCAUGCUCACCCAAGAAGAAAUCGAAUGGGUAUGAACUCUGCUGCAGGGCAGGUGCCAGGGUACAGAAGUGACCAGCACCUAGUUCUUGCCCUCAAAGAACCUGAGGUUCAGGGCGGUGGCCAAAUACACAAAUGACAGAGGCUACAUCUUCCACAAUAAAUGUAUGGAAAAUGUCCUGCA